GAAGGGCUGAAUGAUUUAAAGCGUGCUCGUUCAAUCUAUAAGGCCUAUCAAUACUAUCAUUAAUUCAAGUGGCGUGCUUUCGACUCCCCGCUUGUACAUGACACGCGGUAUGGUUGCCUGUCCAACCUCGUGAGUUUUCUCCAGGUCCUCCGGUUUCUCCCACUGCUAAAGAGACCUACGCGCAAGCAAAUUAUGGACAUAAAAUGGAAAGGCAUGUUAGUCCCUAAAUGACCUAGUUUGUUUCAAGUGGACGUUAAACCCAUUUAUCCUUCUCGCUAACCAGGAGGUACUAAUUAUAGUUUUGUGUAUGAUCACAUCUGAUCACGUUUUAUCGACUGUUCUAUCACGCAUCUGAUCCCAUCUGUCUGUAGACUCUUCUAUCACACAUCUGAUUACAUUUUGUCUACAGUUCUAUCACGUAUCUGAUCACGUUUUAUCGACUGUUCUAUCACAACUGUGUAAUCCAUGGAUCUAAAAUAACAAUUUUCGUCUGCCCCCAAAAAGUGAAUAAUUUAAAUUAUAUAGCAAGGAAUGUUAAAAGUGGUACAAUGUACCUGUCACUUUAAUAUCAUUUUCUGAACCAUUCAUUGUUUGUCAGCAAAUAGAGGUCAUGGUCUAGAGGGAACCAGGUCAGUAAAUAACAUGCAUUAUGAUAUCAGUUUAUGGGGCUGGUAUAAUGAACAACAGGUGUAGAUGAUUCUCUCUGGUAUAUAAAUACCUGCUGUACACAUAGACUUGAAUAGAUUAUACGUUACCGACUCCAGGAAUAGUGCAGUAUACGGGAAGCGCACCUGUUUAAAGACUUUAAGUGGAAGUUAAUCAUUUCAACUUGAUAUAAUCUAGUUUAAAUUUGAAUCAAUUCAUCACCAGUUCAUCUUUUGUUAAUCCGAAAACAGAAGACCCAGAAAGCUGUAACCAAGGGUUUUGGAAAAUGGGACGAGUUUUAAAUAUCUUUCUGAUAGUUUCCCUGGUGCUGACUAUCGUUUAUUUUGACAAAGGUAUGACAUCACCCAGUCGAGGAGCGUGUUGGUUAUGUUAUGACAGAUAUGAAGAUUGUGUUUGGGGGUGUAGGAAUAACUGCCCUGGUCCGGGACGGUGUGAAUAUGACGCCGAGAUUUUCCUGUAUGAAUGUAGCUGUUUCUGAAAGAUAUCACUAACAUUUAAAAUAUGAUUCGACUCUGACAAAGCAGAUCACCCGUCUCCAUUAGCCCAGCCAGGAGCAGGCAGAACUGUAGGACGUUAAAUCCCAUUUCAUUACAUAUAUUAUUUAACACGUUCCUGUGAUAGACGUUUAAAUAUAGAACUGAAGUCAAGUAAACGAUACACGACAAUCGAUCCUCGUGCAACGCCUGAUGAUUGCGGUUAGAGGGAGACAACUCCAGUCUACAUAUUAUGGUCGCGCGUUGUCAUCCAGAUUUGUAUGUAUAUAGGUACACACAUGUUUAUAAAAUGUGCAAAAACAUACACAAUUGAUAAUAAAUAGAGUGCAUACAUGUAAUUCUAUAUAUUAUACAAAACCAAACCGUUAUGUUUCCGAUAAUUAAAGACAUAAACCCACAA
Molecule: long non-coding RNA, 1560 nt
Organism: Patella vulgata (common limpet)
Lineage: Eukaryota; Metazoa; Mollusca; Gastropoda; Patellidae
Exons: 2
Source: RefSeq, a predicted model, not a curated record